RNAcentral lists this ribosomal RNA (276 nucleotides) under uncultured prokaryote. RNAcentral describes it as "partial 16S ribosomal RNA". It matches the Rfam family "Bacterial small subunit ribosomal RNA", at positions 524 to 798 of the family's 1533-position model. The record is from RNAcentral.
UACGGAGGAUCCAAGCGUUAUCCGGAUUUAUUGGGUUUAAAGGGAGCGUAGAUGGAUUUUAAGUCAGUUGUGAAAGUUCGGGGCUCAACCCCGUAACUUGCAGUUGAUACUGGAUAUCUUGAGUACAGUUGAGGUAGGCGGGAAUUCGUGGUGUAGCUGUGAAAUGCUUAGAUAUCACGAAGAACUCCGAUUGCGAAGGCAGCUUACUAAGCUGUAACUGACAUUGAGGCUCGAAAGCGUGGGGAGCAAACGGGAUUAGAUACCCCGGUAGUCCCU